Molecule: ribosomal RNA, 253 nt
Filed under: uncultured bacterium
Lineage: Bacteria
Description: partial 16S ribosomal RNA
Rfam family: Bacterial small subunit ribosomal RNA
Source: RNAcentral
UACGUAGGGCGCAAGCGUUGUCCGGAAUUAUUGGGCGUAAAGAGCUCGUAGGCGGCUUGUCACGUCGGGUGUGAAAGUCCGGGGCUCAACUCCGGAUCUGCGGUGGGUACGGGCAGACUAGAGUGAUGUAGGGGAGACUGGAAUUCCUGGUGUAGCGGUGAAAUGCGCAGAUAUCAGGAGGAACACCGAUGGCGAAGGCAGGUCUCUGGGCAUUAACUGACGCUGAGGAGCGAAAGCAUGGGGAGCGAACAGG